Apis florea (little honeybee) is the source of this 819-nucleotide long non-coding RNA. RefSeq lists it as uncharacterized. The record is from RefSeq and is a predicted model, not a curated record. Lineage: Eukaryota; Metazoa; Arthropoda; Insecta; Hymenoptera; Apidae.
AUUUUGCGUUUAACCAAAUGACUCUAGUGACAUAGUGACUAAUAGAAGUGACUUUAGUACAAUAUUAAGUUAACAGUGGAAAAAGUGAUACAAUAGAAAUCAACAGUAAUCACAACCAUAACAACCGAUCAUUUAUAUCAAAAUCAAAACUAAUGACGUAUUUAAAUUUACAGCUUAAUUAGAAAGAGCCAUCGGGAAAAAUUUUCAUCUCAAACAACAUAGAAAAACAGAUAAGGUUCACUUCAAUAAUCCUUUCUGAAGCAAAAAUGACUUUCAACCAAGUUGGGAUUCAAUUCCACACGUUCGUUCUCCCGAACCAAUUCUCAUUGAUACUAAAGGGCCUGCUUCAGGUAGAACGAAACACUAUAACCGAAGAAUUAAAAGUCUAUAACCUCAACUCUGUAAACUGUAUAGCACUUAGGCCCAACAGAAACAGUUCAAUCUAUCGAAUUAAUUUUCCUGCAAAUACAACUUUUGCCCAGGCAUAAGGAUAUACUUCUGAGAACUAUUUUAAGUUACCAAAAUGUGUCAAGUCUGGAGAAGAGCAUAUGACUAAAAAUUGUGUGAAAGCUCCAGAUACUCCUUAAUGUGCAAACUGUGAAUAGUUAACUUCUCAAACUGUUCCAAACUACAAACUUAACUGAAUCGGAGGAAUGUCAGAAACUUAAAGGAUCAGUGAUGACAAUAUUAUGGAAAACUAUACAAUGAUGCACUCCAAGGGACAAUCAGGAAUGAAACAAAUUCUCAUAAUUCAACAUCAGUUCUUCCGAAACAAUCCUCAUUAUAUUUCUACGAGCUGAAGUUUUUGGUCUUGGUCAA